This 253-nucleotide ribosomal RNA is filed under the name uncultured bacterium. RNAcentral's name for it is "partial 16S ribosomal RNA". It matches the Rfam family "Bacterial small subunit ribosomal RNA", at positions 524 to 776 of the family's 1533-position model. The record is from RNAcentral.
UACGUAGGGGGCUAGCGUUGUCCGGAAUCAUUGGGCGUAAAGCGCGCGUAGGCGGCCCGGUAAGUCCGCUGUAAAAGUCCAGGGCUCAACCCUGGAAAGCCGGUGGAUACUGUCGGGCUCGAGUCCGGGAGAGGUGAGUGGAACUGCGAGUGUAGAGGUGAAAUUCGUAGAUAUUCGCAAGAACACCAGUGGCGAAGGCGGCUCACUGGCCCGGUACUGACGCUGAGGUGCGAAAGCGUGGGGAGCAAACAGG